RNAcentral lists this ribosomal RNA (250 nucleotides) under uncultured bacterium. Its description in RNAcentral is "partial 16S ribosomal RNA". It matches the Rfam family "Bacterial small subunit ribosomal RNA", at positions 524 to 776 of the family's 1533-position model. The record is from RNAcentral.
GACGAACCGCCCGAACGUUAUUCGGAAUCACUGGGCUUAAAGGGAGCGUAGGCGGGCUGCCAAGUCCGGGGUGAAAUCCUCCAGCUUAACUGGAGAACUGCCUCGGAUACUGGAAGUCUCGAGGAGGGUAGGGGCAAGUGGAACCGUGGGUGGAGCGGUGAAAUGCGUUGAUAUCCAUGGGAACUCCGGUGGCGAAGGCGACUUGCUGGACCCUUCUGACGCUGAGGCUCGAAAGCCAGGGAGCAACGGG